Molecule: ribosomal RNA, 930 nt
Filed under: Scarthyla goinorum (Tarauaca snouted treefrog)
Lineage: Eukaryota; Metazoa; Chordata; Amphibia; Anura; Hylidae
Description: partial 16S ribosomal RNA
Rfam family: Bacterial large subunit ribosomal RNA (bases 165-930)
Source: RNAcentral
GCUCAAAACUUAGCCCUAUAACUUAAAUACACCCUAAAACCUCUCCCCCUAAACUAAAACAUUUUAACAAUUUAGUAAAGGCGAUUAAAAAAUUUUCAGGCGCUAUAAAAGCAGUACCGCAAGGAAAUAGUGAAAUAAAAAUGAAAUAAAUUUUAAGCACAAAAAAGUAAAGAUUAACUCUUGUACCUUUUGCAUCAUGGUCUAACAAGUCUAAUCAAGCAAAAUGCUUUUAAGUUUGACCCCCCGAAACUAAGCGAGCUACUUUAGGACAGCUUAAUGAGCAAACCCGUCUCUGUUGCAAAAGAGUGGGAAGAUCUUACAGUAGCGGUGACAGACCUAACGAGCUUAGUGAUAGCUGGUUGCUCAAGAAAAGGAUUUUAGUCCCACCUAAAGGCCCCCCCAAUAAUUAUUUAUACUAGAUGGGCUUUAGAGCAAUUCAAAUAAGGUACAGCCUAUUUGAAUUAGGAUACAACCUAAACCUCAGGGUAAUAUCGUGACACAACAAAAAAGUGGGCCUAAAAGCAGCCACCUUUAAGACAGCGUCAAAGCUUGCUUGUUUUACUCUUCAAUUCCGAAACUCCCCUAGAACCCUUAAAUACUACUGAGCGAUUCUAUAUUCUUAUAGAAGUUAUUAUGUUAAAACUAGUAAUAAGAAGAACCUCCUUCUCUUUAAUGUAAGUGUAAAUCAGAAAGGACCUUCCACUGAUUCUUAACAUGUAUAAACUAAUAAUAGUAACAUAACAAGAAAACCCUAUUAUACCUCAUGUUAAUCUAACACAAGAACAUUACAAGAAAGAUUAAAAGAAAAGGAAGGAACUCGGCAAACCUUAGCCCCGCCUGUUUACCAAAAACAUCGCCUCUUGAUAUCUCAUAAGAGGUCCAGCCUGCCCAGUGACACUGUUCAACGGCCGCGGUAUCCUAACCGUGCAA